AUGCUUACCUGGCAGGGGAGGUACCUUGAUCACGAAGGUGGUUUUCCCAGGACAAUGGUUGUCCAUUGCACUCUGGAUGUGCUGACCCCUGUGAUUUCCUGUGGAAAAUGUGGGAAACUGGUCUGCAUCAUUUGCAGUAGUGGGGGACUGUUCGCGCCCUCCCCUG
This is a small nuclear RNA of Eptesicus fuscus (big brown bat), 166 nucleotides long. RefSeq annotates it as U1 spliceosomal RNA. The transcript has a single exon. The record is from RefSeq and is a predicted model, not a curated record. NCBI's taxonomy places the organism in Eukaryota, Metazoa, Chordata, Mammalia, Chiroptera, Vespertilionidae.